UGGUGUCUUUUGUCUGAUAGUUUGUGAUGAAAGGGACGGUUCUUGAAAUAUCAUGGCAUGAAAAAGAGCCAGUACUUAGUGUGCAUUGUAGUGCAAAACGAUUUGCAACUGCUGGUGCUGAUAACGAUGUAAAGUUAUGGUCUAUGCCAGUUCGUGAAGAGGCCAAUUGCUCUAAAAUUUUUUUCAUUUCUUCCCUGUCUUGUCACAAAGCAACUGUAAAUGUUGUUCGGUUUUCCCCUUGUGAAAACUUUAUUUCUUCUGGCAGUGAUGAUGGAACAAUUAUUAUUUGGAAACAAAAUCAAGAACUUUCUCCCAAAGAUGUGGAGAGUGGUCAUUUAGAAGGCUGGCAAGUUUUGCACGUUUUAAGGAUGCAUAGAGGUGACGUCUACGACUUGUGCUGGUCCCCUUGUGGCAAGUUUAUUGUCUCAGCAUCUAUUGAUAAUGUUGCCGUAGUGUGGGAUGCCUUUAAAGCAAAACCUCUUCAACAACUUAUGGAACAUCGUCAUUACGUUCAAGGUAUAACCUGGGAUCCUUUAAAUAACUUUAUUGCCUCUCAAAGCAGUGACAGAACUUGUCGUAUUUACAAAGUUAAAGAAAAGGGGCAUGGGACUGUCAGUUGCAAGUUCAGCUUCAACAUUGACUUUUUAACUCUUCAGCUGGAUGAAGAUACCGUCGUUAAGAAGCGCCUUUUUGCUGACGAGACGUUAAAUACUUUUUUUCGACGGCUUGAAUUCUCGCCCGAUGGUCGACUUUUGUUGACUCCUGCAGGUUUAAAAGAGAAGGAGUACUGCGUUUACGGCUUCGCUAGACAGAAUCUAUCAAGGCCAGUUAUAUGCUUUCCUGGCCUCGAAAAACCCGCUGUAGCAGUGCGUUUCUGCCCUGUAAAGUUUAAUCGUUUGCCGUUAAAAGGCGCACCUCUCUUCGACUUACCAUACCGUCACGUGUUUUCCGUAGUCACGUUAAACUCUGUGCUUUUAUAUGACACCCAACAUAGCCAUCCCUUCGCUGCUCUUGCAAACUUACACUACGCAUCACUUACAGAUGCAUCGUGGUCCCCUGACGGUUCGAUGCUGUUCGUUUCCUCGAGAGAUGGCUAUUGCAGCAUAAUUAAUUUUGAUUCAGGAGAACUUGAAGCUGUCACUUUUCAGCGUACGAAUGAAUUAGAGAAUCCUCGGAGGCUCUUUAAAAGAGAAACUUGCCAAGUUUAUGUUGAACUUUAAAUUCUUGUACUUUCUGACACGAGUAGAGAGCUUAGAACACCCACGAGUGGGAAGUGACUAUGGCUGAUCUCUGCACGGUGACUGGGACCGUUGCGGCACGCGUAGCCUAACUACUGUAGAUGCUGGCCUUACAUACUACCUUUUCGGGAAGUACAUUCGUAAAAUACUUACCGCUCGCGUACACAAAGGCGGUCAAAGAUUAGCAAUAUACUUGCCCCAGCUAGUAUAACACCUUAAAAGUAGCUUACUCUACUAUUGUUUUUGUUAGGUUUUGGUGUGCUAAAAGUAGUCAAGCUGUCUUCGCUUCCACAAUGUCUUUCAUAAUGCGGAUUGAGCCAUCAUUGGCCAGAGUAAUUUUCAGGAUGAAGGUCCAC
This is an RNA transcript of Zophobas morio, 1594 nucleotides long. RefSeq lists it as uncharacterized. The transcript has 14 exons. The record is from RefSeq and is a predicted model, not a curated record. NCBI's taxonomy places the organism in Eukaryota, Metazoa, Arthropoda, Insecta, Coleoptera, Tenebrionidae.